CCAGAACCUCUUCCUUCUUCUUCUUCGUAUACACCGCCGCCAACAACCAUUUCCUCUUCCUUCUUCUCGCCUCGACCACGAUCAUUACAAUGGUUGUCUUAGAAAACUGAGACCACAUUUGUGAUCAUUGUAAUCUCCUCUUUCAUUCUCAACCUAAAUCGUAAAUUGAAACAUCUUAUUUCUCUUUGUCAAAAAUCACACCUCCACCUUUGGAUCAAGAUUUCAGCCACCACGACUAUCACAAACGAAAACUAAGACCAUAUUUGGACUCCAUGAAACACCCUCUUCCGUUACCUAUGCUCGAAAUCGCCAAUCGUUACGUUUUAAAAAAUGGGUUUCCACCAUUGUCGCAGUUGUGUUGCCAUACUCCGGCCAACACGUUCAUCGUCUUGAAAAACUGACAUCAUUUUUGGAUUCCUCUCAUCGAAACCUUCAAGAAGCACUAUUCAUUUGCGUGUUUCGGUGAAGUUGAUGCCGGACCCUGUCGGCGCCCCAGUACGUCGGUGAGACCUUUUCUAAUAACAUGUUUCACGACGUUUUGAAUAUGUUUCUUCGCCUAAUAUUUUUAUUAAUUAUAUAAUGCUAAUUUUUAUGCCUCGGGAAAAUUAUCAGCCACGUUUCAUUGACUCUGCAAAUUCGUCGAUGCUUUUGGACUCGUUUGGACGUGUUGUCGACAUCUCAUGGUUGCUGAAAAUCAUUAUGGUCCUUCUAUCUUAUGAAAGCGUCAAAUUGAGGUAUGGGGUGAGAAUGAGUUCGAAUGCAUGAGUAUAAAUUAAGUGAGAUGAACGGGAAUACCGUAUUUCCCACAAUUCAUUCGGGGCUCGCUACGUAUGGCAGAAGCCCUUUGAGUAAUAAUUGACUAAUGAGCAAACUUGAAUUUUGUGAGGUUAAAAUAUGAAUUAGAAACUUUUAUAGGAUGUUGUUUGAUUUGAUUUUUGAAGAUCGUGUGAUAGUUGAAUUAUUGUAGAAUUGCGUAUUUUAUUUGAUUCAUUCCGUGUUUUGUUUAUAUCUAUCCUUGAUACUGAUAUAUGAUAUAAAAUGUGAUGAAUUGUAAUUAUUUGCCUUGCAAUUGAUGUGGUGUGUGUGAAUGAUCUAGUAUUAUUUUUAUAUGUGAGUGUAGACCCUUUAUUGUUUGAGAUGACGUAUCAUGAUGAUAAAUUCUGAAUUUAAUGUAUGACUAUGGAAAUCUGCAAUGAUGAUGUGUGCUCCUUGACUUGUGAUAUUACCACCUUGAUGAAUAUCAUGAAAUGCGUAUUGUGUUUAAUUGAAUAGUGACGAAUUCGACCCGUGCCAAUGAUGGUUCUCUUAAUGGAGUAAGUAACCUAGGACAACGAGGGGAGAAAGUAGUUGUUGAUAAUUUUUGAAGUGGAGAUUAUUUGGUCAUCAUAUAGGUAGGGCCUGACAAGCCUAGUGAUUAUGGGGAAGUACAACUGAAUGAGCCUGAUCGUGGCGGUCUACUGUUGAGCCUUAAGGCAAGAUUGUUAGACCUUGGAGGUAUCCGGGUGGGGAAUUCCUAGGUGACUUGGAGGUAGCACUCCAAAUGUCGGGAGCUACCACGCAACACACGUUUACCUCGACUGUCACGUAUAUGUGUCUCGGGUUGAGUUGAGGGAUCUAUGAGGACAGGGCCAAUUUGAAUUGUCCGUCCACCGGGAUGGUGGCAUAGUAUCAAGCCUCCUAACCAAGUACUUCAGAGUUAGAAUGGUACCAAAGAAAGAGGAGGAGUCUAGAGUAUAAGAGCAUGCAUAACAUUACUUGAUUUGUGUAUUUACUUACUUGAUGUUGUGGAUGGUAUCAAUGUUUUACCUUGAUUAUUCUUGUUGGUUGUGAUUUGAUAUGAUACAGCGUUUAAUAUUUUUUUACAUGUUCUUCUCAGUGAUUUUAUACUAUUACAUGUUUUCGAAGCUCACCCCUCGUUGCUUGUGUUUGGCGCUUGCGAGAGCGCAGUUAUUUCAGGUUAUCGCUUGGGGAUCCACGCUCUGAAUAGGUGAUAUUGGAU
RNAcentral lists this long non-coding RNA (1999 nucleotides) under Cicer arietinum (chickpea). Its description in RNAcentral is "long non-coding RNA (CARI_LNC001201)". The record is from RNAcentral. Lineage: Eukaryota; Viridiplantae; Streptophyta; Magnoliopsida; Fabales; Fabaceae.